GAUGAACGCUGGCGGCGUGCCUAAUACAUGCAAGUCGAGCGAACAGACGAGGAGCUUGCUCCUCUGACGUUAGCGGCGGACGGGUGAGUAACACGUGGAUAACCUACCUAUAAGACUGGGAUAACUUCGGGAAACCGGAGCUAAUACCGGAUAAUAUAUUGAACCGCAUGGUUCAAUAGUGAAAGACGGUUUUGCUGUCACUUAUAGAUGGAUCCGCGCCGCAUUAGCUAGUUGGUAAGGUAACGGCUUACCAAGGCGACGAUGCGUAGCCGACCUGAGAGGGUGAUCGGCCACACUGGAAGUGAGACACGUUCCAGACUCCUACGGGAGGCAGCAGUAGGGAAUCUUCCGCGAAGGGCGAAAGCCUGACGGAGCAACGCCGCGUGAGUGAUGAAGGUCUUCGGAUCGUAGAACUCUGUUAUUAGGGAAGAACAAAUGUGUAAGUAACUAUGCACGUCUUGACGGUACCUAAUCAGAAAGCCCCGGCUAACUACGUG
Molecule: ribosomal RNA, 497 nt
Filed under: uncultured bacterium
Lineage: Bacteria
Description: partial 16S ribosomal RNA
Rfam family: Bacterial small subunit ribosomal RNA
Source: RNAcentral